Molecule: long non-coding RNA, 357 nt
Filed under: Brassica rapa (field mustard)
Lineage: Eukaryota; Viridiplantae; Streptophyta; Magnoliopsida; Brassicales; Brassicaceae
Description: long non-coding RNA (BRAP_LNC004389)
Source: RNAcentral
CCUAUAGUCCCUAAAAUUUGUUAUUUCGCCAAUUUCUAGUUUCCUUUUUUCUGCGCUUGCUUUCCUUAUUUUAGUAUCUAGUCAAAUUUUUCCAUUCUAAAUUACAUUAGAAAAAAACUCUUGAUUAUUGAUACAUUCUAUCAAUUUCAAUUGGUCACUAACGACAGAGUUACAUCACACCCCCUCCCAUUUUUCAAUACAAAUUUGUAUUGAAAAAUAAAGAAAAGAGGGUAAAGUGAAUUCUUCUUAAUAUACAUACUAGGAUUAGGACUAUCAGACAAGUAAUUCCUGACACCUGGUCGAAAUCGAAAGUCUAAAGAGAGGCAAAAAGGCUUUUGAUAAUUUUUUUGGUUCUUU